GGGUUGUGAGGUUAAGCGACUAAGCGUACACGGUGGAUGCCCUGGCAGUCAGAGGCGAUGAAGGGCGUGCUAAUCUGCGAUAAGCGCCGGUAAGGUGAUAUGAACCGUUAUAACCGGCGAUACCCGAAUGGGGAAACCCAGUGUGACUUGUCACACUAUCAUUAACUGAAUCCAUAGGUUAAUGAGGCGAACCGGGGGAACUGAAACAUCUAAGUACCCCGAGGAAAAGAAAUCAACCGAGAUUCCCCCAGUAGCGGCGAGCGAACGGGGAGGAGCCCAGAGCCUGAAUCAGCAUGUGUGUUAGUGGAAGCGUCUGGAAAGGCGCGCGAUACAGGGUGACAGCCCCGUACACAAAAGCGCAUGUG
Molecule: ribosomal RNA, 365 nt
Filed under: Salmonella enterica
Lineage: Bacteria; Pseudomonadati; Pseudomonadota; Gammaproteobacteria; Enterobacterales; Enterobacteriaceae
Description: partial 23S ribosomal RNA
Rfam family: Bacterial large subunit ribosomal RNA
Source: RNAcentral